GGUUUGUCGCGUUGUUCGUGAAAUCUCACGGCUUAACUGUGAGCGUGCGGGCGAUACGGGCAGACUUGAGUACUGCAGGGGAGACUGGAAUUCCUGGUGUAGCGGUGGAAUGCGCAGAUAUCAGGAGGAACACCGGUGGCGAAGGCGGGUCUCUGGGCAGUAACUGACGCUGAGGAGCGAAAGCGUGGGGAGCGAACAGGAUUAGAUACCCUGGUAGUCCACGCCGUAAACGGUGGGUACUAGGUGUGGGUUUCCUCCCUUGGGAUCCGUGCCGUAGCUAACGCAUUAAGUACCCCGCCUGGGGAGUACGGCCGCAAGGCUAAAACUCAAAGAAAUUGACGGGGGCCCGCACAAGCGGCGGAGCAUGUGGAUUAAUUCGAUGCAACGCGAAGAACCUUACCUGGGUUUGACAUGCACAGGACGCCGGCAGAGAUGUCGGUUCCCUUGUGGCCUGUGUGCAGGUGGUGCAUGGCUGUCGUCAGCUCGUGUCGUGAGAUGUUGGGUUAAGUCCCGCAACGAGCGCAACCCUUGUCUCAUGUUGCCAGCGGGUAAUGCCGGGGACUCGUGAGAGACUGCCGGGGUCAACUCGGAGGAAGGUGGGGAUGACGUCAAGUCAUCAUGCCCCUUAUGUCCAGGGCUUCACACAUGCUACAAUGGCCGGUACAAAGGGCUGCGAUGCCGCGAGGUUAAGCGAAUCCUUUUAAAGCCGGUCUCAGUUCGGAUCGGGGUCUGCAACUCGACCCCGUGAAGUCGGAGUCG
RNAcentral lists this ribosomal RNA (759 nucleotides) under uncultured bacterium. RNAcentral's name for it is "bacterial SSU rRNA". It matches the Rfam family "Bacterial small subunit ribosomal RNA", at positions 577 to 1334 of the family's 1533-position model. The record is from RNAcentral.